AGUCGAGCGGAGAUAGUCCCUUCGGGGUCUAUUUUAGCGGCGGACGGGUGAGUAACACGUGGGUAACCUGCCUAUCACAGGGGAAUAACAAUGAGAAAUCAUUGCUAAAGCCCCAUAAGCUCCCGGCACCGCAUGGUGCAGCGAGAAAAUAUUUAUAGGUGAGAGAGGGGCCCGCGUCUGAUUAGCUAGUUGGUAGGGUAAAAGCCUACCAAGGCGACGAUCAGUAGCCGACCUGAGAGGGUGACCGGCCACAUUGGGACUGAGACACGGCCCAAACUCCUACGGGAGGCAGCAGUGGGGAAUAUUGCACAAUGGGGGAAACCCUGAUGCAGCAACGCCGCGUGAAGGAUGAAGGGUUUCGGCUCGUAAACUUCUUUAGGCAGGGAAGAAAGAAAUGACGGUACCUGCAGAAUAAGCACCGGCUAAAUACGUGCCAGCAGCCGCGGUAAUACGUAUGGUGCAAGCGUUAUCCGGAAUUACUGGGUGUAAAGGGUGAGUAGGCGGUGAGAUAAGUCAUAUGUGAAAGCCCCGGGCUUAACCCGGGGAUUGCAUAAGAAACUGUCUGACUAGAGUACAGGAGAGGUAAGCGGAAUUCCUAGUGUAGCGGUGAAAUGCGUAGAUAUUAGGAAGAACACCAGUGGCGAAGGCGGCUUACUGGACUGAAACUGACGCUGAGUCACGAAAGCGUGGGGAGCGAACAGGAUUAGAUACCCUG
RNAcentral lists this ribosomal RNA (715 nucleotides) under uncultured bacterium. RNAcentral's name for it is "bacterial SSU rRNA". It matches the Rfam family "Bacterial small subunit ribosomal RNA", at positions 60 to 789 of the family's 1533-position model. The record is from RNAcentral.